UCAUGCCAUAAACACAACACGAGAGGGAGAGAGGUGCAAAAUUAUGUGUUUGAAAGAUGUAACAGGUUCGCCAAUCUCAAUAGUCAAAGGAGAGCAUAAUUCAAGAUAAGUCGAGCCACAGGAAUUAGCUGAUUGGCUGAUUGCACCACAAGAAAAUGCACAAGCCCUUCAUUAACGACUAUCCUGAGCAGUGACGUAAAAGGCAGCAGAAAGGGAGAAAUAUACAUUUCAUGCUUUCAAGAGUGCUCCAAAAGAAAAUCCAGCACUGGUGUACGUGAAGAUGCGUGUGUACCAAACUGAACUUUGCCCAUUGCCAUUCAGAGCUUGUGUAUGCCAUCCUGGCAGUGCAGCUGUCUAUGUCUGUUUGAAUACACACCCUUUCUGUGGAUGAAACGGACUGG
This is a long non-coding RNA of Myxocyprinus asiaticus (Chinese sucker), 401 nucleotides long. RefSeq lists it as uncharacterized. The record is from RefSeq and is a predicted model, not a curated record. Lineage: Eukaryota; Metazoa; Chordata; Actinopteri; Cypriniformes; Catostomidae. The transcript is spliced from 3 exons.